ACUUGCAUGGACACGGGGUGGUGCGGGUCUGCAGGGGGUUUGUUUGGUAACCCUUGCUUGUGGUCAUGCUUGUGGAGUGACCACUCUGAGCUUUACUUGUGCCGUACAACGUCGCAUAUCCAACCCCUUGUGGACUCGGGUAUAGGCGGAUAUGUGAAAAGGUCGGAUUUACGAACAUCUAUAGAAAAAGCAUUUACACAUCCAUAAAUAGGUUAGUGAACAAAAACAACACGCAAACUGCUUUAAACAUGGGGACAUUUUUUGCUUUAAAACUAAGCAAACGUAAACGAGAUUAAUUAGACUACAAAUACACAGUGUUGCUAUGUGGUUUGCUAUAAGCCAUCUCCAUGCAAAGUUUUAAAAAAAAAAAUGCAAAACAAACGGUAAAUGUACAGUAACCUGCAACUGAUGGCUUCUUUCUCAGCUCUAGAAGUCCCUGCCUCCCUGGUUCUGCUUUCUUAAUAUCUCUGUCACGGUACUUUGCGCUCUUUCUUGAUAUUGCCAACAGCUGAUAACAGCUCGGUUUGAAUAUUGUUUCGGCUAUUUUAAACAAACGACCGAUAAGCAUUGCGUUUAUGAAGCUUGCUUUGUUUAAUCAAUUGCAUUUAAAAGCUACAACAACACACUGCCAAUAUCUGCAAGCGUGCGCUCCAUCAUAUAAACACAUUGCACAAAAAAAAGUUUUCUCGACUGGUGUAUUGAAACGUCACUGCUACACGCAGCUGACUGACACACGCACACAGCCCGCCUCUCUUAAAGGGGAACGCACAAAAAGAAUGAUUGCUAGAACGCUUUCUUUCUGUUUCCAUUGCGGAAGCUGCAUUUGCUGCCAAUGCCAUUACUCUCGUAGCCUACUUUUAAUAUUUAUUCAUUUAUUUAGCGAGGCGGUUAAUUGAUCAGGACGGUUAUGUGAUGGUCGGAUAUGCGACACUCCACUGUAUUGUUGUAUACCCUUUGGAUCAUAGAAGGCAAUAAACUGCCCUUGUAACACACUGUGAGUGGAUCUGAUUCUGUCUACCUCAAUCCUGUCACUGUGUCUGUGGUUAUGAAAUGGUCAGAUAGGGGGCAGUGUUGGACCAGUAAGGGACCAAUAUCGGGCCUAUUCAGAUUACCAUAAUGAAGGCAUUGUGGCACCAAUUUAAACCCAGUAAUGGUGUUUCUUAACACUAGAACUGCCACGCGCAUCAAUUUUGAUGCAUUUUGGAUGUAAAAUUUAACGUCUCAGCAUUUGCAAAUGCAAUGCGGCUGUCCUUUUUUUCUUUUUUAGUUUAAAAAAAACAGCAAACGCAUCACAUUCACAAGGGCAGAGUUGUUUAAAUUUUGAAUCCCACUUACAUCCCUCAGCAGUUCUAGUGUUAAUGGACCAGUACUGUGCCAGUUCCUAACCAAACUGGACCAUGUACUGGGUCCACGUGCAAACUAUACCUACCCAAUUCUGGCACAUAAUUGGAUCAAUACAGUCAAAUUGGCCUGCCAGCAUUGCACCAAUACUGGCAAAAGGUUUGCAAACAAUUGGUCCAGUAUUGGGUCAAUUCCGACAUGUUUCCUAGGACCCUGUUUGGAUCAUGGCUAGUCUUUUACAUCUCAUGAAUGCAGAAAAGCUUUGAUCAGCUGAAUAUAGCAUUAGAAUGUACAGGCUCUUGAGACCAGAAUGGAAACGAGACGUAAAGAAGACACUCAAGUUAGUUCAGUCUCAGGAACUUAAAAAGAACACAACUCACAUGCAGUAUAUUGGUGUCUGGAAAAUGUCAUUUUAAAAAGAGAUUGCAGUGUGUUAAUGAAGGUACCCGUGAUAAUAGAUACAAGUAGAUUAAUAGUGAUAUACAGGUAUCAGCUUUGAAGACCUUAUCUUAUCCUCUGUGCUGAAAGGGUCAGUGAAGAGCUGGUGGGUUGCUGAGCUUCAUGGAAUUCUGUCAUGGGAAUAUGGUGAUGGGUGUGAUGUAUUGUUGGUGUGUAUAGUGUGUAAAUGUGAGUGUAUGUAAUGUGCGUCUUGUUUUGUUAUUGUCAAGGGUAAACGGAACAACCCGUUCACACAACAGAACUAGGACCACAUGUCAGGACAAAGAUUUCAAAGAUUUCACAGAAGAAAAAGCAUCAAAAUGCUUUGCCUGCACUGAAACCACUUCCUUUAUAAUGGACUCAUGCCAAUGAUAGUGUGUGGAAGCAGUUCAACGCGACUUUCUUUCAUCUUUUACCAGGUGUCAAUAUCUCAGCUGGAGACUGUGCCACUGAAUCUCCAAGACUUCUCUCUGAAAUACAGUUCAAUAAAUCCAUGUUAAAGAUAUAGAAUAUGUGUGUGUUCCUAUGUGAAUAAUGCAAGUAUUUGAAUUGAACCCAAGCCCUGCAUACACACCUAUCAGAAUCAUCAGAAGAGCUGUAGUGAGAACACAGCGCUACUGAUUUCCUCGCCCCAUGCUCGGUGCCUGUGUGAGUGCAGAAUGAGGAGAGCUCAAGAACUGCACUGUUGGAAGAUGAGACAGAAGCUGCACACGUGACCGAUGAUGCAGGUGAGAACUAUUCCACACUGGAGUGUUCACUGGAGACAUGAUGAUAUGAAACGACAUGAGUGAUGUGUACUUGAAGCAGCUGCAGUGUGAAGCAGGAAUACUUUACAAUUCAUGUGGAAACAUUGUGGAUUCAACCUUAAUAUCUAAAGAAUAUGUUGCAUCAAUGUACUGUACCCCUGACACUAUCUAGCUACAGUAUCUCAUUAUACAUUCUGAAUGUCAUCUUCAAGUAACUUCAUUGAUAUGAUAUGAUAUGUAACUUCAGUACACAAUGCUUUUGAAACAUAAAAAAUGCUUUCCUUAUAUUUGUAGCAUCAUUUAGAAGUGUAGUAAAAAGACUGCAUUUUAUUAAAACAAAUAUGUUAUAUUUGUCUGUGCAUCCAAACAAACUCACUAAAACUGUGACUGAUUAGACAAUGCUGCCAUCUGCUGGUCUGCUUUAAACAUUUCUUUAUUGAUUUGGAUGUAUAAACACAAUUAGUGUUUAUUGAUAGCUGAUAAUGGACUGACACUCAAUGAAAGCAUUAAUUAUUUAUUUUUGACUGCUCUGUGAAUGUUUUCCACAACUGCAUUUCAAAGGGUCACAUUCGCCUGUAUAUAUUAUUUCAAAUGAAGUAUCACAAGGAAACAAUAGUGUAGUUUCACUGUUGUGCCUGUAGGUGUCAUAAUACAAGUCAGUGAUGCACCUAUUCAUUAUUCUCACUCGAGAUUUCCCCUGAGAUAACAUUGACAGACAGCAGCUGCUCAGGUUGCUAGGAUACGGUCUGCAUCAUGUGCAGCAGUGUCACCUGGGAUAAAUGAACUCAAUGGCCUGUCUGUUUUACACCUGUAUUAAUUUUGUAUUUUUAGACACCAUUACAACUUUUUUUUUUUAAAAAAAAAUAUAUAUUUUUUUUUUUAAAUCAUAAAAUGUCUACUGAAAAUGCAUUUGUAGAAAUUAAAUACCAAGACCAGAGAUGUGAUUUCAACACUGCUCUGGUUGUGAGCUGAGUUCAGAUCCACAGUGCUGUGAGCUGAGUUCAGAACCACAGUGCUGUGGGCUGAGAUCAGAACCACAGUGCUGUGGGCUGAGUUCAGAACCACAGUGCUGUGGGCUGAGAUCAGAACCACAGUGCUGUGAGCUGAGAUCAGAACCACAGUGCUGUGAGCUGAGUUCAGAACCACAGUGCUGUGAGCUGAGUUCAGAACCACAGUGCUGUGAGCUGAGAUCAGAACCACAGUGCUGUGGGCUGAGUUCAGAACCACAGUGCUGUGGGCUGAGAUCAGAACCACAGUGCUGUGGGCUGAGUUCAGAACCACAGUGCAGUGAAGGUUAUAAUUAACACUUCAUGAAAAGGUGUUUUUUUUUACAUACUUGACAUUCUGCAUUAUGCUCAAGCUUCUUUCAUUCCCUUCUCCAGAUAUUAGGGUUCAACACAAUUUUGGUUUUUGUGUAAUAAACAUGGUUAUAUAACGUUAUGAUACAAUAUAUAUUUAUUUGAAUUUAUUAUAAGAGUUUGCAUUAAUUUAAAAUAUUUUCCAUUAAAGAGUAAAAGCUAUCUAAUGAACACAUGUUGAUUUGAAAUUGCAGUGGAUCAAUAUGACCUGAAACAUACCAGCUGUACCUACAUUCUGAACAUACUAGGAGGGUUCAAUAGAUUCACAUUGAGUGCUUUCAGCAGGGAGCUGCGCUGGUCGCUGUUCAUGGGACUGAACUGGUCUGACAUGGAACUGCAUUGGGCUAAAGGGCUUGAGGGAUGUAUCUCUGAAUGUAUUUCACAUUCUGUGCUAUUAAUGUAUUGUCAUCUCCUUAUUGCCUGGUAUUUUCCUUGUUGUUUAAUAAAGGAAGCAUUGUGUGAUUGUGAAUAUUGAGCUUUAAACACUGACAAUUCAUUGUCGUACACUGCCACCUAUUGGGGGUUCAUUUGAAUUGCAAUGUAACAAAGAAUAUAUAAUAGUUAACGAAGCCUAGAAAUUAGCAGUCGUAUGAAAUAAGAUACAAAAAACAAUCCAUCAAUCUUGACACAGUAUCUGAAAACACUGAGGUGGCAAGGCAGCUGUUUUCCUAAAAAUAAUGUCAAAGUUGUUAAUGGUGAGUUGCACGUGUUGUGCAGAUAUUUCGUUUAAAAAAUGAAUGUAUUUUAACGCUUUAUGUACAGGCUUAUUAAAAGUUGUUUGUUUUUUAACGCAUUAAAUACAUGUAAACAUCGA
This is a long non-coding RNA of Acipenser ruthenus (sterlet), 4697 nucleotides long. RefSeq lists it as uncharacterized. Lineage: Eukaryota; Metazoa; Chordata; Actinopteri; Acipenseriformes; Acipenseridae. The record is from RefSeq and is a predicted model, not a curated record. The transcript is spliced from 3 exons.